Molecule: ribosomal RNA, 465 nt
Filed under: uncultured bacterium
Lineage: Bacteria
Description: bacterial SSU rRNA
Rfam family: Bacterial small subunit ribosomal RNA
Source: RNAcentral
GACGAACGCUGGCGGCGUGCUUAACACAUGCAAGUCGAACGGUAAGGCUCCAGCUUGCUGGGGUACACGAGUGGCGAACGGGUGAGUAACACGUGGGUGACCUGCCCUGCACUUCGGGAUAAGCCUGGGAAACUGGGUCUAAUACCGGAUAGGACCGCACCGUGAGGGUGUGGUGGAAAGUUUUUUCGGUGUGGGAUGGGCCCGCGGCCUAUCAGCUUGUUGGUGGGGUAAUGGCCUACCAAGGCGGCGACGGGUAGCCGGCCUGAGAGGGUGGACGGCCACAUUGGGACUGAGACACGGCCCAGACUCCUACGGGAGGCAGCAGUGGGGAAUAUUGCACAAUGGGCGGAAGCCUGAUGCAGCGACGCCGCGUGGGGGAUGACGGCCUUCGGGUUGUAAACUCCUUUCACCAUCGACGAAGGGUUUCUGACGGUAGAUGGAGAAGAAGCACCGGCUAACUACGUG